GUUGUACAUGAACUCUGGACUGCUUUGCAUACAUAACUAAGCAUUUCAGUUGGAGUACUCUUAAAUCUGAAUUCAGAUUAUGCUAUUGCACCAGUCAGUACCACUUUUUCCAGCCUGAGACCUGAGCAUAUCCAUUGUGGCAUGAAGAAGAUGCUGAAUUCAAAUUGAUCAUGCUUUGAGAUGGUGCUGUAUCCAUGAUCUGAAGACCAAGACAACAGGAGAAGAGGAGCAAGAGGGGUCUCUCCAAUGCAUCAAAUUGUAAAUGGCUAACUCAACAGUGAAAAGGCAGUAAAUAGUUGUGGUAGCUACAUAUGCCUAUACUGUGGACCACUGAUAUAUUCAGG
This is a long non-coding RNA of Centrocercus urophasianus (Greater sage-grouse), 344 nucleotides long. RefSeq lists it as uncharacterized. NCBI's taxonomy places the organism in Eukaryota, Metazoa, Chordata, Aves, Galliformes, Phasianidae. The transcript is spliced from 4 exons. The record is from RefSeq and is a predicted model, not a curated record.